UCUUUUUUUUUUUUUUAAUGGUAUUUUUUUCCAUGGAAGAGAACUCUUACCUCUUAACUUGGUUAUGACUCUAAUCUUAAUGGUAUGGAGUGUUUUUGCUGGGAAACAUAUGAACUCUUUUGUCUUUUGUAGCUUACUGCUCUAACCUGAUUGAGUUAAAAAAUUAUUGACAAUUUUUUUCGUCUUCCAAAUUUUGACAUAUCACAUAACUUAGGAAUAAUGUUUUAGUAUUAUAAUCCUUUUCCCUGUUGGUUGCUUUGUCUGUGGGUGUGCAUGGCGUGUAGUAUGUUGUAUGCUGUCAAUUAUGAAAUGAAUACUGGUUUCUUUUGUUAUUAUUAUUUUAAAAUUUUUCCUAGCAGUAACAUUUUCCUAUAUUCUGUCACUUUGAGUUGAGAAAAAUGUUAAUAUGCCUGUCUUUUUUGUCAGCCAAAAAGUUCAAUGGGUUCAAUGUGAGGAUUGUUUUAAAUGGCGCAAACUGCCUGCCAAUGCUCUUCUUCCCUUCAAAUGGACAUGUUCUGG
Molecule: unclassified non-coding RNA, 519 nt
Filed under: Hevea brasiliensis (rubber tree)
Lineage: Eukaryota; Viridiplantae; Streptophyta; Magnoliopsida; Malpighiales; Euphorbiaceae
Source: RNAcentral